AGAAAAAGUGUUAUGUCUGCCUCGAAUACAGAUAUUCCUAUUUAUAUGAAAAUAAAUAACAGGGAACUUAACCUUCUACUCGUCAUAAUCUACUGAGUACAUCCAUUGCCAGGGAAUUGUACAGCACAUUUUAUGGUGUUUCAGCUUUGAAGCUAUGGGACAAUAAUAACACGAAGGCUGGCCACUUUGUUUCAUGCCUCCUUGACCCGUGUGUUCCAUCAAUUGAGAGACAGAUGCAUGGAAAUCACAGAUGAAGAUGAAAAUACCACCUUCACGGCCAGUCAAGUGUUAAAGAAUGUGAUUUAGAUGCAGCCAACGGUACCUACAAUUACACUCCAACAAAAUGGAACUCACUUCAAACUAAGAGCCCAUUCCAUGGAGGAGAGGAGAAUGAGAAUGUAGAACAGUCAGACAAAGGUAGAGAAAGGAAGAAUCCCAGCCAAUUCUUGAAGCUUAGCUUUAAAUCCAGUUUGUUCCUAAACACUCAGCAACCAGGAGUCUGACUAAUCUUCAGGAGGGGAAGAAUAAGUGCAGAAACUGGUGGUUUUACUUUACUUACCUUGAAAACAGGCCCAAAAUUGGGAAGGGGAAUUACAAGGGGAAAAAUUAUUCCCUGUUAAUAUUUUUCAUUUUACUGUCACAAUAUUAAGAGAUGUUUGUUGGAGGAAAAAAGUUGUAUU
Molecule: long non-coding RNA, 680 nt
Filed under: Pan troglodytes (chimpanzee)
Lineage: Eukaryota; Metazoa; Chordata; Mammalia; Primates; Hominidae
Description: long non-coding RNA NONPTRT003030
Source: RNAcentral